This 432-nucleotide long non-coding RNA is filed under the name Gopherus agassizii (Agassiz's desert tortoise). RNAcentral describes it as "lncRNA (ENSGAGG00000020607.1)". Lineage: Eukaryota; Metazoa; Chordata; Testudines; Testudinidae. The record is from RNAcentral.
ACCAGUGAUAACAUGUAUAUACAUGUCCUAAUUGUAGUUUCUGACUUUUAGGAUGCUACUUUGAGAUUAUGGAACAUUGAAAAGGCUGAUCACGUUCCUGCGGCAAUAGAAAGCAGAAAUACAAGAGGCUCAAAAAUAGCUCAAUGUGAAGAAUGUGAAAAACCUUUCUCACUCCUACAGUGUGAUGACUCUGAAGCGGUAACCAAGUGUGUAUUCUGCCGACUGGCUUCUCCUUCGAGAAAUAUUUUGCCAUUACCACCUAUUGUAGCACCUGAUCUCUAAAUUCUUCCCAACAGACUAUUUGUGCAAAUACAGUAAUUAUGUCUGCUCUUAAGGGUCUGCUGUAGGAGAAGAAAAGGCAUACUGACAAAGCCAUGAUUUGGUUCUAAGCAUGGCCCAUGGAUUCCUGGUAAAUUGGCAUAGUGAUCCCUG